RNAcentral lists this ribosomal RNA (253 nucleotides) under uncultured bacterium. Its description in RNAcentral is "partial 16S ribosomal RNA". It matches the Rfam family "Bacterial small subunit ribosomal RNA", at positions 524 to 776 of the family's 1533-position model. The record is from RNAcentral.
UACGUAGGGUCCGAGCGUUGUCCGGAAUUACUGGGCGUAAAGAGCUCGUAGGUGGUUUGUCGCGUUGUUCGUGAAAACUCACAGCUCAACUGUGGGCGUGCGGGCGAUACGGGCAGACUGGAGUACUGCAGGGGAGACUGGAAUUCCUGGUGUAGCGGUGGAAUGCGCAGAUAUCAGGAGGAACACCGGUGGCGAAGGCGGUUCUCUGGGCCUGUACUGACGCUGAGGAGCGAAAGCGUGGGGAGCGAACAGG